RNAcentral lists this long non-coding RNA (605 nucleotides) under Capra hircus (goat). RNAcentral describes it as "lncRNA (ENSCHIG00000006204.1)". Lineage: Eukaryota; Metazoa; Chordata; Mammalia; Artiodactyla; Bovidae. The record is from RNAcentral.
AUGGAGGUUUUCAAGGAACCAGCCAGAACAGGAGGCAGCCAGAGAGACCAGUGCCAGGAAGAAUGUGGCUGCUGUCCUGGAAGGAGAGGACCCACUAGGAAGAACAGAACCCGGCCGGCUCAGCCCCUGAGGCUCACUCUCUCCAGGGACCUGGCCUCGGGCCCUAGUAGCCCACCUCCUACCACUGUGGGCCAUCACCAGCCCACUUCAGAAAAAGGUCAUUAAACCAGAUACUGCCCGCUUCCAAAUAAAUGAGAGCUUCAAGUAAAAGUAAGUGAGAAGCACCUUAGUCCCUACCACCACCCUGGCAAGCAAGGCUGAAGAUGUGUUUCCUUCUGUAUUUCAUCUAUCUGAAGGGGUCACCCUGGGGACUUGGGUAUUCAGAUGACGGUCUCCUUGAGGAACUAGAGGAAGAAUGUCCAAGGCCUGCUUUGGACAGAGAGGAUCCUGGACCCCCAGUUGCUGAAUAGAAGAAGUAAGGUCUGGGGUCAGGGCUGCCAUCCUAGGUUAGAGGGAGCUGGGGUAGGUGGGGUGGUUGGGACAGGUGUGGCCUGCUCCAGGCUUAGGGAGGUUCAGAUAGGUACAAUUAACCCAUAAAGUCCUUU